Molecule: ribosomal RNA, 253 nt
Filed under: uncultured bacterium
Lineage: Bacteria
Description: partial 16S ribosomal RNA
Rfam family: Bacterial small subunit ribosomal RNA
Source: RNAcentral
UACGGAGGGUGCAAGCGUUAUCCGGAUUCACUGGGUUUAAAGGGUGCGUAGGUGGGUUGGUAAGUCAGUGGUGAAAUCUCCGUGCUUAACAUGGAAACUGCCAUUGAUACUACUGAUCUUGAAUUUUCCGGAGGUUAGCGGAAUAUGUCAUGUAGCGGUGAAAUGCUUAGAUAUGACAUAGAACACCGAUUGCGAAGGCAGCUAACUACAGGGAUAUUGACACUGAGGCACGAAAGCGUGGGGAUCAAACAGG